Spodoptera frugiperda (fall armyworm) is the source of this 1338-nucleotide long non-coding RNA. RefSeq lists it as uncharacterized. NCBI's taxonomy places the organism in Eukaryota, Metazoa, Arthropoda, Insecta, Lepidoptera, Noctuidae. The transcript is spliced from 2 exons. The record is from RefSeq and is a predicted model, not a curated record.
CCGAUGUUAGUAACAAAAGAUAAAUUGAUAGUGAUUGGUGGAGUAUGCGUUGCAUGAGGUGCAGUUAUACAGUAUUAGUUUGACGAAGGCCGGUGAACCUCCUCCUCGAUUUUACGUUGAAUAUUAUUAUAAAAGUCUGAAGGAAAUAAUUUUUGCGACAGAUAUUACAAUUUUUAAGUGAUGUGAUGUUGGAUGUUUAAACUUUGUUACCUGUGUCGUAUUUUACUAGCUUCCGCGUUGUAUGUGACUUGGAUUCGUUUUGGAUUGGUAAACCUAAUUUCGGUCUGUGGACGGCGAGCAAGGGUAACUCGCCGCCCGACCAGAACAAGACCCGGGCGUACGGUGGCGCGUCGCCUUCCGCGCGCUCCUCAAUGAGACAUUAUAGACCACCACAGGAGUGCUCAGCCCCUGUAGGGUUAAUGCCUGAUCCGGAGCUGCGGACUACUUAGCGGGUUUACCGGGGCUCCGGCUCGAAAUCAGGAGUAUCCUACUACGUGGUGAUUUUUACUCAGUAACGCUCCCUCUCGCCACACCAUAGGCGGGAGAAGUCACUUGAUUAUAAUAAUAUUAUCCCCCCCCCCUCAAAAAUAGCUUACUUUUAUGACGUACGCAUAUUUAUGUGGCGUCUUGAUGUAUUCAAAUAGGUAUUUCCCCUGUCCUAAUACUGCCGAGAAUAAAUCCGCACUAUAUAGAUACCAGGUUAAUGCCAUUUUCGCCGGAUAAGAUAAAUAGUGUAAUGCAUUAAUAUAGCCAAAAUAUUCAUGGUCAGGCGCCAGCUGGUAAACCUGGGAAACUUUUAUUUUGGUUUUGUAAUAAAUUAAAAAAUUAUCAAACAUCUGUUCAAGUUUCAGAAAGUAAAACUCGUAAGUUUUAUCUCUACAUACAAUGUUGGUAUUGUUUAGACUUGUGCUCAAAGCUGACGACGCGACGGUCUGCACUUCCACGAAGUGCAAUAAAACAUUAUAAUCCGCUUGUUUACAUGCAAGUAGGAUUUAUCUUUAUUGAUAUCAAAAUUCUAGUUUCAUUAUUUUCCAUGUUGUUAUUAUAAUAGUAGAUUUAAAUGUUUAUUUAAAAGGUCUAACUGUUAUCGUCUGUCAAUGUUUCUAAUCACACUAGACGUCUCAUUUCACUGCAAGAAUUGUUUACAUUAAUUAGAGAUUAAUAUCUAUACCAAAUAUUUAUCAGUCAUUUAAUGUACCCUUUUUAUUGUUUUGAUGUUUUAUUAGUGUAUUUUUUUAAUAUUACGGUCAAUUCUGUUACAAGUCUGGCUAAGAUUAUGUCUCCAGGGGAGGCAAUAUAUUUACUUUUAAGCAGAUAAAGAAAAAUUCAAUCACAUGA